Molecule: transfer RNA, 73 nt
Filed under: Epichloe typhina
Lineage: Eukaryota; Fungi; Ascomycota; Sordariomycetes; Hypocreales; Clavicipitaceae
Also listed under: 10 other names
Description: tRNA-Met
Rfam family: tRNA
About the family: Transfer RNA (tRNA) molecules are approximately 80 nucleotides in length.
Source: RNAcentral
AGGGUUAUAGCUUAAUCGGUAAAGCAUGCUGCUCAUAACAGUAAAAAUAAGUGUUCAAGUCACUUUAGCCCUA